RNAcentral lists this ribosomal RNA (428 nucleotides) under Acidobacteriota bacterium. RNAcentral describes it as "Acidobacteria bacterium partial 16S ribosomal RNA". It matches the Rfam family "Bacterial small subunit ribosomal RNA", at positions 355 to 776 of the family's 1533-position model. The record is from RNAcentral. Lineage: Bacteria; Pseudomonadati; Acidobacteriota.
UGGGGAAUUUUGGACAAUGGGGGAAACCCUGAUCCAGCCAUCCCGCGUGUGCGAUGAAGGCCUUCGGGUUGUAAAGCACUUUUGGCAGGAAAGAAACGUCAUGGGUUAAUACCCCGUGAAACUGACGGUACCUGCAGAAUAAGCACCGGCUAACUACGUGCCAGCAGCCGCGGUAAUACGUAGGGUGCAAGCGUUAAUCGGAAUUACUGGGCGUAAAGCGUGCGCAGGCGGUUCGGAAAGAAAGAUGUGAAAUCCCAGAGCUCAACUUUGGAACUGCAUUUUUAACUACCGGGCUAGAGUGUGUCAGAGGGAGAUGGAAUUCCGCGUGUAGCAGUGAAAUGCGUAGAUGUGCGGAGGAACACCGAUGGCGAAGGCAGCCUCCUGGGAUACACUGACGCUCAUGCACGAAAGCGUGGGGAGCAAACAGG